AUUGAGCGGCCGAUAUCAGAUUAGCUAGUUGGUGAGGUAAAGGCUCACCAAGGCGACGAUCUGUAGCGGGUCUGAGAGGAUGAUCCGCCACACUGGAACUGAGACACGUUCCAGACUCCUACGGGAGGCAGCAGUGGGGAAUUUUGGACAAUGGGGGCAACCCUGAUCCAGCCAUGCCGCGUGAGUGAAGAAGGCCUUCGGGUUGUAAAGCUCUUUCAGCCGGGAAGAAAACGCAUGGGUUAAUACCCUGUGUGGAUGACGGUACCGGAAUAAGAAGCACCGGCUAACUACGUGCCAUAUGCAGCCGCGGUAAUACGUAGGGUGCGAGCGUUAAUCGGAAUUACUGGGCGUAAAGCGUGCGCAGGCGGUUUGUUAAGAUAGGCGUGAAAUCCCCGGGCUCAACCUGGGAACUGCGUUUAUGACUGGCAGGCUAGAGUAUGGCAGAGGGGGGUGGAAUUCCACGUGUAGCAGUGAAAUGCGUAGAGAUGUGGAGGAACACCGAUGGCGAAGGCAGCCCCCUGGGCCAAUACUGACGCUCAUGCACGAAAGCGUGGGUAGCAAACAGGAUUAGAUACCCUGGUAGUCCACGCCCUAAACGAUGUCAACUAGGUGUUGGGAGGGUAAAACCUUUUAGUACCGGAGCUAACGCGUGAAGUUGACCGCCUGGGGAGUACGGCCGCAAGGUUAAAACUCAAAGGAAUUGACGGGGACCCGCACAAGCGGUGGAUGAUGUGGAUUAAUUCGAUGCAACGCGAAAAACCUUACCUACCCUUGACAUGUCCAGAAGCCCUUAGAGUAUGUGUGCCCGAAAGGGAGCGUGGAACGGACAGGUGCUGCAUGGCUGUCGUCAGCUCGUGUCGUGAGAUGUUGGGUUAAGUCCCGCAACGAGCGCAACCCUUGUCGUUAAUUGCCAUCAUUUAGUUGGGCACUUUAACGAGACUGCCGGUGACAAACCGGAGGAAGGUGGGGAUGACGUCAAGUCCUCAUGGCCCUUAUGGGUAGGGCUUCACACGUCAUACAAUGGUCGGUGUAACAAAGGGUUGCCAACCCGCGAGG
RNAcentral lists this ribosomal RNA (1056 nucleotides) under uncultured Ferribacterium sp. RNAcentral's name for it is "bacterial SSU rRNA". It matches the Rfam family "Bacterial small subunit ribosomal RNA", at positions 221 to 1262 of the family's 1533-position model. The record is from RNAcentral. Lineage: Bacteria; Pseudomonadati; Pseudomonadota; Betaproteobacteria; Rhodocyclales; Azonexaceae.